GGACCCCACUGCUAUCGGGAUAGGACUAAGACAUGCUAGUUGAGCGCUUCCAGCUAACACGGGAGCGCAGCGCACAGCUCAGUAACACGUGGCUAAUCUGCCCUUKGGACCGGAACACCCCCGGGAAACUGGGGCUAAUUCUCGAUAGGUGAAGAACUCUGGAAUGAGUCUUUGCCAAAAAGACGUUUACGUUAUGCUCGUAGACGUCGCCCAAGGAUGAGGCCGCGACCGAUCAGGUUGUUGGUGAGGUAAUGGCUCACCAAGCCUUUUACCGGUGCGGGCCGUGAGAGCGGGAGCCCGGAGAUGGGUACUGAGACACGGACCCAGGCCCUAUGGGGCGCAGCAGGCGAGAAAACUUUGCAAUGUGCGAAAGCACGACAAGGUUAAUCCGAGUKGUUUCUGCUAAAGAAACCUUUUGCCAGUCCUAGAAACACUGGUGAAUAAGGGGUGGGCAAGUUCUGGUGUCAGCCGCCGCGGUAAAACCAGCACCUCAAGUGGUCAGGAUGAUUAUUGGGCCUAAAGCAUCCGUAGCUCGUUUUGUAAGUUUUCGGUUAAAUCCAUGCGCUCAACGUAUGGGCUGCCGGGAAUACUGCAUAACUAGGAAGUGGGAGAGGUAGACGGUACUCGGUAGGAAGGGGUAAAAUCCUUUGAUCUAUUGAUGACCACCUGUGGCGAAGGCGGUCUACCAGAACACGUUCGACGGUGAGGGAUGAAAGCUGGGGGAGCAAACCGGAUUAGAUACCCGGGUAGUCCCAGCUGUAAACUAUGCAAACUCAGUGAUGCAUUGGCUUGUGGCAAUGCAGUGCUGCAGGGAAGCGUUAAGUUUGCCGCUGGGAAGUACGUACGMARUAUGAAACUUAAAGGAUUUGSGGGGRGCAC
RNAcentral lists this ribosomal RNA (879 nucleotides) under uncultured crenarchaeote. RNAcentral describes it as "bacterial SSU rRNA". It matches the Rfam family "Archaeal small subunit ribosomal RNA", at positions 19 to 879 of the family's 1478-position model. Lineage: Archaea; Thermoproteati; Thermoproteota. The record is from RNAcentral.